RNAcentral lists this small RNA (932 nucleotides) under Alnicola subconspersa. RNAcentral's name for it is "LSU rRNA". It matches the Rfam family "Eukaryotic large subunit ribosomal RNA", at positions 44 to 961 of the family's 3401-position model. The record is from RNAcentral. Lineage: Eukaryota; Fungi; Basidiomycota; Agaricomycetes; Agaricales; Hymenogastraceae.
CAAUAAGCGGAGGAAAAGAAACUAACAAGGAUUCCCCUAGUAACUGCGAGUGAAGCGGGAAAAGCUCAAAUUUAAAAUCUGGCGGUCUCCGGCCGUCCGAGUUGUAAUCUAGAGAAGUGUUAUCCGCGCUGGACCGUGUACAAGUCUCCUGGAAUGGAGCGUCGUAGAGGGUGAGAAUCCCGUCUUUGACACGGACUGCCAGGGCUUUGUGAUGCGCUCUCAAAGAGUCGAGUUGUUUGGGAAUGCAGCUCAAAAUGGGUGGUAAAUUCCAUCUAAAGCUAAAUAUUGGCGAGAGACCGAUAGCGAACAAGUACCGUGAGGGAAAGAUGAAAAGAACUUUGGAAAGAGAGUUAAACAGUACGUGAAAUUGCUGAAAGGGAAACGCUUGAAGUCAGUCGCGUUGGCCGGGGAUCAACCUUGCUUUUGCUGGGUGUACUUUCCGGUCGACGGGUCAGCAUCAAUUUUGACUGUUGGAUAAAGUUCAGGGGAAUGUGGCAUCUUCGGAUGUGUUAUAGCCCUUGGUCGCAUACAACGAUUGGGAUUGAGGAACUCAGCACGCCGCAAGGCCGGGUACUUGUACCACGUUCGUGCUUAGGAUGCUGGCAUAAUGGCUUUAAUCGACCCGUCUUGAAACACGGACCAAGGAGUCUAACAUGCCUGCGAGUGUUUGGGUGGAAAACCCGGGCGCGUAAUGAAAGUGAAAGUUGAGAUCCCUGUCGCGGGGAGCAUCGACGCCCGGACCAGACCUUUUGUGACGGAUCCGCGGUAGAGCAUGUAUGUUGGGACCCGAAAGAUGGUGAACUAUGCCUGAAUAGGGUGAAGCCAGAGGAAACUCUGGUGGAGGCUCGUAGCGAUUCUGACGUGCAAAUCGAUCGUCAAAUUUGGGUAUAGGGGCGAAAGACUAAUCGAACCAUCUAGUAGCUGGUUCCUGC